GGCAGCAGUGGGGAAUAUUGGACAAUGGGCGAAAGCCUGAUCCAGCCAUGCCGCGUGAGUGAUGAAGGCCCUAGGGUUGUAAAGCUCUUUCAACGGUGAAGAUAAUGACGGUAACCGCAGAAGAAGCCCCGGCUAACUUCGUGCCAGCAGCCGCG
This 155-nucleotide ribosomal RNA is filed under the name BTEX-degrading bacterium enrichment culture. Its description in RNAcentral is "partial 16S ribosomal RNA". It matches the Rfam family "Bacterial small subunit ribosomal RNA", at positions 347 to 519 of the family's 1533-position model. The record is from RNAcentral.